Molecule: transfer RNA, 68 nt
Filed under: Marmota monax (woodchuck)
Lineage: Eukaryota; Metazoa; Chordata; Mammalia; Rodentia; Sciuridae
Description: tRNA.Ala
Source: RNAcentral
GGAUUGUGGCUCAGUGGUAGAGUGCUCGUUUAGCAUGCAUGAGGCACUGGGUUCAAUCCUCAGCACCA